UACGGAGGGGGCUAGCGUUGUUCGGAAUUACUGGGCGUAAAGCGCGCGUAGGCGGAUCUGCAAGUCAGAGGUGAAAGCCCUGGGCUCAACCUGGGAACUGCCUUUGAAACUGACGCGCUAGAGUCCGGGAGAGGAUAGUGGAACUCCCAGUGUAGAGGUGAAAUUCGUAGAUAUUGGGAAGAACACCGGUGGCGAAGGCGACCAUCUGGACCGGUACUGACGCUGAGGCGCGAAAGCGUGGGGAGCAAACAGG
This 253-nucleotide unclassified non-coding RNA is filed under the name uncultured Alphaproteobacteria bacterium. Its description in RNAcentral is "contains 16S-23S intergenic spacer region". It matches the Rfam family "Bacterial small subunit ribosomal RNA", at positions 524 to 776 of the family's 1533-position model. The record is from RNAcentral. Lineage: Bacteria; Pseudomonadati; Pseudomonadota; Alphaproteobacteria.